UACAGAGGGUGCAAGCGUUAAUCGGAAUUACUGGGCGUAAAGCGCACGUAGGCGGUUUUUUAAGUCAGAUGUGAAAGCCCCGGGCUCAACCUGGGAAUUGCAUUUGAAACUGGGAAACUAGAGUGUGUGAGAGGGGGGUAGAAUUCCAAGUGUAGCGGUGAAAUGCGUAGAGAUUUGGAGGAAUACCGGUGGCGAAGGCGGCCCCCUGGCACAACACUGACGCUCAGGUGCGAAAGCGUGGGGAGCAAACAGG
RNAcentral lists this ribosomal RNA (253 nucleotides) under uncultured bacterium. Its description in RNAcentral is "partial 16S ribosomal RNA". It matches the Rfam family "Bacterial small subunit ribosomal RNA", at positions 524 to 776 of the family's 1533-position model. The record is from RNAcentral.